AUUGAACGCUGGCGGCAGGCUUAACACAUGCAAGUCGAGCGAGCGGCGGACGGGUGAGUAAUGUCUGGGAAACUGCCUGAUGGAGGGGGAUAACUACUGGAAACGGUAGCUAAUACCGCAUACCAUCAGAUGACCCCAUAUGGGAUUAGCUAGUAGGUGGGGUAACGGCUCACCUAGGCGACGAUCCCUAGCUGGUCUGAGAGGAUGACCAGCCACACUGGAACGGAGACACGGUCCAGACUCCUACGGGAGGCAGCAGUGGGGAAUAUUGCACAAGGGGCGCAAGCCUGAUGCAGCCAUGCCGCGUGUAUGAAGAAGGCCUUCAGGUUGUAAAGUACUUUCAGCGAGGAGGCGUUACUCGCAGAAGAAGCACCGGCUAACUCCGUGCCAGCAGCCGCGGUAAUAC
Molecule: ribosomal RNA, 406 nt
Filed under: uncultured bacterium
Lineage: Bacteria
Description: partial 16S ribosomal RNA
Rfam family: Bacterial small subunit ribosomal RNA
Source: RNAcentral